AAGUUGGGCCGUGGGAUGUUUGUUACAAAUGUGCAGGGGCUCCUAUGCUGCCUAUCUCUUUGAAAGAGAUUUUUUGAGAACUAAGUGACUGUUGAAAAGGUCUUUGCUAAACUCUGUAAGCAGCCAAAUUUCAGGGAGUACUUACAGUGCAAAAUAGCAUAAGGUGGAAUGAAAAUUAAUUUUUCUCUAGCAACUUGAUCCACUUUACUAAAAAGCCACAGAAGCAUUUCUUUUGAGUCCUGAUAUACCAGAAUCAACAAACCUGCAGAGCAGAAGAUGAGAAAGCAAAAAGGAGGUUACCCAUCAUGUACCACAGGCAGGUGCAUGGAGGACAUUCAGAAAAGGAAGAACAAGUUAAAAACUGGCAAUAAUGGACAGGCCAUGUAAUAUUUCCCUUUCUACUCAAUUAUUUAAAAGUAUGCUAAAAAUUCCAUGUAUGACAGAAGAAGAUGUACUCACUUUUAUGCUGCUGGAAAGAAAAAGUUUUGUGUGGAACCGGAGUGGGAGUAAAGAAAAACAAGAGCCCAUUGUGUUUUGGAGGCAAAUCAGACAAGCUCUCUUUAGCCAUGUUAUUUUUCAGACCUUGUGUGCUGGAGGAUUGGAGAAUGGUUUUCUGGGGCAUCUGCUGCAGAGAUGACUUCUACACGCACCUCAGAGUUACAAAGACAAAUAUGGGAAUAUGAUUUUUUUGUUGUUGCACUGAGAUUGUGAGCCUAAUUCCCCUCUGCUAUGCAACUUUCAUUUGAUUUUACCUGGAGAACAGGGUCAGUAACACCAGUUCUGGGAACAUUUUGUGAUGAUACAUUAAUGUAAAGCUGUUGUAAUCUAAUUCUGCUUGAUAAUAUCCUAGUGAUACAGCAGAGAUGAGAUGUGAAGAAUAAUAAGGACCAGAAACUUAAUGAAAUUUUGAAAAUAUUCAUAAGAAGAUCUGUUCAGAAAACUGAGAGCCAGUAGUGAGUUGUAAGUCACUUUUAGUCAGUGUCAAUUGAUGUAGAUUCUCAAAGACAGACGAGAUUAAAGGAGUCCUUAAUUUUUGCCCUGGUAUAUAAGAAAUUAGGCAAAUUGGCAACAUCUCUAACUUCCUAAGAAUAUCACCAAAGCAAGUAGAGAUGUGGCAUCAACAGUGUUGUCAAAGUAGCUAAGUUUUGCACGGUGUUACUUUGAGUCUUUGGUAUAUUAUGCCAAAAACCAAGACAUGUAGCAGUAAGAGUUUCUUUUUCCUUAGCCCCUGGAAACACAACUUUGCUGUGGUGUGCUUUAAGAGAUACCACCAUAGUGUUUCUACUGUAAAUUGUCUUUUAACAUUCUGAUUAGAGACAAAACAAUGACGUUCCCUAGCUAAUAUUUGUACCUAUUUCUCGUGUUAUAAAAAUGCCAAACCGGAGUGAGAUCUGAGGGAACACGAAAGCUGGACUUUUCUGUGAGCAGUAAAGCAAACUGUAGAAUACUGAAGUUAGAAGUGCUGUGAACACAAGGCUACCAAGAAGAAAAGAAUCCUCAUUUGAAGCCAGUGGCAGCAAAACUCCCCCUGUGUUAGAGUGAUACCCUGUUCCUGUGCCAGUUUCAUUGACUUCUGUACAUUAACAUGAAUUAAAAUGAAUUAACACUGCCUCAGGUCUUCAGUUUCCUUUACAGAUGGAAAUAGGAGAGCCCUUUUGAUGGAUCUCCUGUAUUCAGUUAGGCUGAAGCCAAAGUGGAUCAACAAGAGACAUGGAAGAGAGAAGCAAACAGGAGGAAAAUGUGGAUGCUCUGGAGAUGAUGAGCAUUCAGUUGAAAAUAAAAGCCAAACUUGGACUUCAUUAUGCAGCUGAUAUUUGUUAAUAUAGAAUAAGUGAAGCUGUAGAGCAUGAACAAAUUGCCUUUAGGAGAAAGUGAAUGUUAAGA
This is a long non-coding RNA of Passer montanus (Eurasian tree sparrow), 1884 nucleotides long. RefSeq lists it as uncharacterized. The transcript is spliced from 3 exons. The record is from RefSeq and is a predicted model, not a curated record. Lineage: Eukaryota; Metazoa; Chordata; Aves; Passeriformes; Passeridae.